This 253-nucleotide ribosomal RNA is filed under the name uncultured bacterium. RNAcentral describes it as "partial 16S ribosomal RNA". It matches the Rfam family "Bacterial small subunit ribosomal RNA", at positions 524 to 776 of the family's 1533-position model. The record is from RNAcentral.
UACAGAGGGUGCAAGCGUUAAUCGGAAUUACUGGGCGUAAAGCGCGCGUAGGCGGUAUGUUAAGUCGGAUGUGAAAUCCCUGGGCUCAACCUAGGCAUUGCAUCCGAUACUGGCACACUAGAGUGUGGGAGAGGAAGGUAGAAUUCCAGGUGUAGCGGUGAAAUGCGUAGAGAUCUGGAGGAAUACCGAUGGCGAAGGCAGCCUUCUGGCCUAACACUGACGCUGAGGUGCGAAAGCAUGGGGAGCAAACAGG